GAUGAACGCUGGCGGCGUGCUUAACACAUGCAAGUCGAGCGAAGCACUUUGCUUUGAUUUCUUCGGGAUGAAGAGCUUAGUGACUGAGCGGCGGGCGGGUGAGUAACGCGUGGGUAACCUGCCUCAUACAGGGGGAUAACAGUUAGAAAUGACUGCUAAUACCGCAUAAGGCCACAGCACCGCAUGGUGCAGGGGUAAAAACUCCGGUGGUAUGAGAUGGACCCGCGUCUGAUUAGGUAGUUGGCGGGGUAACGGCCCACCAAGCCGACGAUCAGUCGACGGCCUGAGAGUGUGGCCGGCAACAUUGGGGCUGAGACACGGACCGAACUCCUACGGGAGGCAGCAGUGGGGAAUGUUGCACAAUGGGGGAAACCCUGAUGCAGCAACGCCGCGUGAGCGAAGAAGUAUUUCGGUAUGUAAAGCUCUAGCAGCAGGGAAGAAAAUGACGGUACCGGACUAAGAAGCCCCGGCUAACUACGGGCCAGCCGCCGCAGUAA
RNAcentral lists this ribosomal RNA (497 nucleotides) under uncultured bacterium. RNAcentral's name for it is "partial 16S ribosomal RNA". It matches the Rfam family "Bacterial small subunit ribosomal RNA", at positions 28 to 523 of the family's 1533-position model. The record is from RNAcentral.